GAUAGGGAUAGUUUUGCACCGUUCAUAUUCAACGUUUGAUCGUUCGUUUUAUUUGAAAUGUUUUUAUGAUUAGUAUUUUUAUUGUUAUUAGAUGAUAAAAUAUGAAUAGUACUUUAUGUGUAACUAAUUUUUUAAUAUUUUUUAUAAAUUUUUCAAAUAAGAUGGCAGUCAAAUAUUGAAUACGGAUAUCUACAGCUGCACUUAAA
This is a non-coding RNA of Oryza punctata, 206 nucleotides long. The record is from Rfam. Lineage: Eukaryota; Viridiplantae; Streptophyta; Magnoliopsida; Poales; Poaceae.